RNAcentral lists this long non-coding RNA (757 nucleotides) under Nicotiana tabacum (common tobacco). Its description in RNAcentral is "long non-coding RNA (NTAB_LNC017274)". Lineage: Eukaryota; Viridiplantae; Streptophyta; Magnoliopsida; Solanales; Solanaceae. The record is from RNAcentral.
GCUUUGCUUUCUCUGUAUGAAAAUGGAGUUUCGUAGACUUUGAUUCAUUUCACGAAUCAAUCAAAAUUUGCAACUUUUUUGGGUCUUUUCAGCUAAAUAUAAUAAAUCCAAAUGGAGGGUCGUAGUGAAAAGUGCGAGCAAUGUGUAGGAAGAUCAAGAAUUGCUGCAGCAAUAGCAAUUGGUGUUGUUGUGGGACGUGUCUUUGCUUUCUUUUAUCCCUAUGGCUUCUUUUCUCCUGAUCCACAAGCUCAAACUCCGACUCUUUCUAAAUAUAAUGUUUUGGUAAGUCAUGUCUCUGCACAUAUUUCUCUCUUACUUAAAUAUAGAGCUAACAUGCAAAAUAUAUUUUACAAGAGAGAGAGAGAGAGGUUGAAUGAAAAAAUCAAUUAGGCCUAGAGGUUGGCCUAGUUGAUUGAUUGUGUCAAGCUGUGAUAUGUGAUCAAGGAGUUGCUAGUUUAAAAAUUGAGGAUAUUUUGGUCCAAUACUGUCUUACAAAAAGUGACUUAUUGUUUUAGGUUUUUGAAUUAUGUUUUUCUUUUUUUCUUUUCUAAAAGAUGGGGCAUUUAGUCAUCACAUGUAUAUUUACAUGCUAUUUACAAUUCUAAAUGUGAUGAUAAUUGAACACUCCAUUAUGGCAUCACUUCUACAUGUGACAUUUGAUAUAAUUAAUGGCCAUAAUGUCAUUUGAUCAGUGUUAAACUCUUCUAUAUGUAUCUUAAUUGUUGAAAUUUAAUUCAUAGGUUGAGUCGUGGUCAUA